UAAAAGACCUAGCAAUAGGUAUGCUUAGGGAGGAGCUUGCGUCACAUUAGUUAGUUGGUGGGGUAAAGGCCUACCAAGACUAUGAUGUGUAGCCGGGCUGAGAGGUCGAACGGCCACAUUGGGACUGAGACACGGCCCAAACUCCUACGGGAGGCAGCAGUAGGGAAUUUUCGGCAAUGGAGGAAACUCUGACCGAGCAACGCCGCGUGAACGAUGAAGUAUUUCGGUACGUAAAGUUCUUUUAUUAGGGAAGAAUAAAUGAUGGAAAAAUCAUUCUGACGGUACCUAAUGAAUAAGCCCCGGCUAACUAUGUGCCAGCAGCCGCGGUAAUACAUAGGGGGCAAGCGUUAUCCGGAAUUAUUGGGCGUAAAGGGUGCGUAGGCGGUUAAAUAAGUUUAUGGUCUAAGUGCAAUGCUCAACAUUGUGAUGCUAUAAAAACUGUUUAGCUAGAGUAAGAUAGAGGCAAGUGGAAUUCCAUGUGUAGUGGUAAAAUGCGUAAAUAUAUGGAGGAACACCAGUAGCGAAGGCGGCUUGCUGGGUCUUUACUGACGCUGAGGCACGAAAGCGUGGGGAGCAAACAGGAUUAGAUACCCUGGUAGUCCACGCCGUAAACGAUGAGUACUAAACGUUGGGUAAAACCAGUGUUGAAGUUAACACAUUAAGUACUCCGCCUGAGUAGUACGUACGCAAGUACGAAACUUAAAGGAAUUGACGGGACUCCGCACAAGCGGUGGAUCAUGUUGUUUAAUUCGAAGGUACCCGAAAAACCUCACCAGGUCUUGACAUGCUUCUGCAAAGCUGUAGAAACACAGUGGAGGUUAUCAGUUGCACAGGUGGUGCAUGGUUGUCGUCAGCUCGUGUCGUGAGAUGUUGGGUUAAGUCCCGCAACGAGCGCAACCCUUAUUGUUAGUUACCAGCACGUAAUGGUGGGGACUUUAGCAAGACUGCCAGUGAUAAAUUGGAGGAAGGUGGGGACGACGUCAAAUCAUCAUGCCCCUUAUGACCUGGGCUACAAACGUGGUACAAUGGCUGUUACAAAGGGUAGCUGAAGCGCAAGUUUUUGGCGAAUCUCAAAGAAACAGUCUCAGUUCGGAUUG
Molecule: ribosomal RNA, 1097 nt
Filed under: 'Manihot esculenta' witches'-broom phytoplasma (Thailand)
Lineage: Bacteria; Bacillati; Mycoplasmatota; Mollicutes; Acholeplasmatales; Acholeplasmataceae
Description: bacterial SSU rRNA
Rfam family: Bacterial small subunit ribosomal RNA
Source: RNAcentral